AUGCUUUUAUUUGAACCUGACGAUCAUAGUAUCGCCUCGAUAAAGUUGCUGCUCCUCGCUUUUGAGAUCCUGUCGGGGCUUAAGAUCAAUUUCCUUAAAAGCGAAGUGAUCACCAUUGGGAUGGUGGAUCAUGAGAGUACUCGGGUGGCCAACUUGCUCAAUUGCAAGAACGGGAGAUUCCCGAUCAAAUACCUUGGCCUCCCGAUCUCUCACAAGAACCUCACCAUUGCGGACUGGGCGCCACUUUAUGGCAAAGUGGUUAAUCGGGUUAGCCCAUGGCGCGGGAGGUUUAUGUCCUCAAUGGCUAGACUUAUCUUAACUAACUCGAGCCUGUCCUCGCUACCCCUUUUCACAAUGGGGAUGUUUUUGCUUGCAGACGGUGUUCAUGCCAAACUUGACACGCCGCGCUCCCGAUUCUUUUGGAAAGGAACCGGGACUAAACGAAAGUACCACUUGGUGAAAUGGGCAGCGGUUUGCAGACCUAAAUUUUUUGGUGGUUUGGGGAUCAUGAACUCUAAAUUAAUGAAUGUUGCACUGCUCACCAAGUGGUGGUGGCGCCUUGCCCAAAAUGAGUCAGGACUCUGGGCGGAGAUCCUCCAUGCGAAAUAUUUCCCGGAUGGAAAUCUUUUCAAGGCCAAGGCCAAGGGCUCCGCAUUUUGGAACGGGAUCCAAGCGGUGAGGCCGGCUUUCUCGGUGGGAGCUCGUUUCAACGUGAAUAAUGGCUCAUCCACACGGUUUUGGCUCGACUGUUGGUGGGGCCAUUUACUGCUGUGGCAAUCUCACCCCGAGCUAUACCAAUUGGCCACGGACACUAAAUCUUGGUGGCUGAUGCCUUGCACGUGCAUCCCCCGGCGAUCUCCUUCUUCAGGAUGCUGGAGGCAGGAGAGGCUGCCUCCUGGGGUGCACUCGUGGCGGACCUCGAGGGGAGGACUCUCAGCCAGGAUAGUGAUGCUAUAA
RNAcentral lists this ribosomal RNA (957 nucleotides) under Triticum aestivum (bread wheat). RNAcentral describes it as "partial small subunit ribosomal RNA". The record is from RNAcentral. Lineage: Eukaryota; Viridiplantae; Streptophyta; Magnoliopsida; Poales; Poaceae.